Molecule: long non-coding RNA, 911 nt
Filed under: Rhinopithecus bieti (black snub-nosed monkey)
Lineage: Eukaryota; Metazoa; Chordata; Mammalia; Primates; Cercopithecidae
Description: lncRNA (ENSRBIG00000045820.1)
Source: RNAcentral
UUGGCUAUUUCUAUUGCUUCUUUAUUAGAAGCCUGUCAGAGUCCUGUCUCUUUUGUGAUUACUUCCUGUCUUACUAUAAAUUGCUAGGAGGAGUUUACCCAGGUGACAGUUACUUCUCCCCACCACCCAUCAUUAGUGGCAAAAAUUCCCGUAAAAAUGUUUGAAUUCUUCCAUUUGGGGUCUUAUUCAGUAAUUGUUUAAUGAAGCUGUGUUGUCUUCUAGCUUCUUUCAAGAUAUGCAACUAGCAAGUUCAUCACUGAAUCCGUUUUCUGGGUGCUUCCUGUAAUGUUAGCUAUCUAUUUUGGGGGAUGUUUUAGUGAUUGUUACUCUUUCCCCCCUCUGCUGUUGCUGUCAGUGUAUUGUGUCCUCUGGCUGUGGAUUUCCUUAAGAUGAAGAAGAGGCGAGAUGUGCUUGAAUGGGCAUGGAACUUGGUCAGCCAUGGAUGUCAAAGCUGCCAUUUUCAGCCCUUCUGUGGGACCUGAGGGUCUGUGGAGGCACGUCCAGGGCCAUCACCAUAGGGUAAAAGUUCACUGGGACAUUAAGAACAGAAGAGGAGCUGUUUUUCUCUUUGAGACAUCAUGUCCAGCUGGCCCCAGUGGCUGCUCAUCCAGGCGCUGAAGGCCUGUAGCUGGGCUUGGCAUUCCUCCUGCCAGUUCCUGGGUGUCCUACUGAUUAUCUUGGUCCUGAAGGCAUUGGAGAUUUUGGCAAGUAUCCAAAAUUCACUGGAGGUGCUGCAGACUGCAUCUGCCACCUGCUGCUGGGAGAAGAUCACCUUUACCAGCACCCGUGUUCUGCUGUGAGUGAGACUGACAUUCUCUUGGAACUGGAAGCUCAGGCUCUCAGAAGUGAAGGAAAGAAGAAAGAGCUGGCCAACUUUAAAGUGUGUCCAUUUAAGAAAAGACACUGAGAAC